AGGACGAACGCUGGCGGCGUGCUUAACACAUGCAAGUCGAGCGGUGAUCCUCCUUCGGGAGGUGAUCAGCGGCGAACGGGUGAGUAACACGUGGGCAACCUGCCCCUCACACUGGGAUAACCUCGGGAAACCGGGGCUAAUACCGGAUACGACCUCGAGCGGCAUCUCUUGAGGUGGAAAGCUCCGACGGUGAGGGAUGGGCCCGCGGCCUAUCAGCUUGUCGGUGGGGUAAUGGCCUACCAAGGCGACGACGGGUA
Molecule: ribosomal RNA, 257 nt
Filed under: uncultured bacterium
Lineage: Bacteria
Description: partial small subunit ribosomal RNA
Rfam family: Bacterial small subunit ribosomal RNA
Source: RNAcentral